GAUUAACGCUGGCGGCGUGCCUAACACAUGCAAGUCGAGCGGCAGCGCGUUUUACACUGAAUUCUGGAAGCUUCUAGUUGAAAGAGAAGAUUUAUUCAAGAAUUUUGUGUAAAAUGUCGGCGAGCGGCGGACGGCUGAGUAACGCGUGGGAACGUACCCCAAAGUGAGGGAUAACGCAUCGAAAGGUGUGCUAAUACCGCAUAUGGUCUUCGGAUUAAAGCCUUCGGGCGCUUUGGGAACGGCCUGCGUAAGAUUAGAUAGUUGGUGGGGUAAUGGCCUACCAAGUCGACGAUCGUUAACUGGGUUGAGAGGAUGGUCAGUCAGACUGGAACUGAGACACGGUCCAGACUCCUACGGGAGGCAGCAGUGAGGAAUCUUCCAAAAUGGGCGAAAGCCUGAUGGAGCAACGCCGCGUGCAGGAUGAAGGCCUUCGGGUUGUAAACUGCUUUUAUAAGUGAGGAUUAUGACAGUAACUUAUGAAUAAGGAUCGGCUAACUACGUG
Molecule: ribosomal RNA, 502 nt
Filed under: uncultured bacterium
Lineage: Bacteria
Description: partial 16S ribosomal RNA
Rfam family: Bacterial small subunit ribosomal RNA
Source: RNAcentral